This 74-nucleotide transfer RNA is filed under the name Coccidioides posadasii RMSCC 1037. RNAcentral's name for it is "tRNA-Sup (TCA) (tRNA-Sup-TCA-2-1)". The record is from RNAcentral. Lineage: Eukaryota; Fungi; Ascomycota; Eurotiomycetes; Onygenales; Onygenaceae.
GGCCGAGUAGGUGUAGUUGGUUAUCACGUUUCGUUCACCGGAAAGGUCCUGAGUCGAGUCUCAGCUUGUCAUCA